UACGUAGGGGGCGAGCGUUGUCCGGAUUUAUUGGGCGUAAAGAGCGUGUAGGCGGCCAGAUAGGUCCGUUGUGAAAACUGGAGGCUUAACCUCCAGCUGUCGAUGGAAACCAUCUGGCUAGAGUCCGGAAGAGGAGAGUGGAAUUCCUGGUGUAGCGGUGAAAUGCGCAGAUAUCAGGAAGAACACCCGUGGCGAAGGCGGCUCUCUGGGACGGUACUGACGCUGAGACGCGAAAGCGUGGGGAGCGAACAGG
RNAcentral lists this ribosomal RNA (253 nucleotides) under uncultured bacterium. Its description in RNAcentral is "partial 16S ribosomal RNA". It matches the Rfam family "Bacterial small subunit ribosomal RNA", at positions 524 to 776 of the family's 1533-position model. The record is from RNAcentral.